GGUGAAGAGAUAGGUGAAGAUAUAGAUGAAGAGAUAGGUGAAGAGAUAGGUUAGGAGAGAGAGGUGGAGAGAUAGAUUAGGAGAAAUAGGUGAAGAGAUAGGUGAAGAUAUAGGUGGAGAGAUAGGUGGAGAUAUAGGUGGAGAGAUAGG
This is a long non-coding RNA of Eriocheir sinensis (Chinese mitten crab), 150 nucleotides long. RefSeq lists it as uncharacterized. The transcript has 3 exons. The record is from RefSeq and is a predicted model, not a curated record. Lineage: Eukaryota; Metazoa; Arthropoda; Malacostraca; Decapoda; Varunidae.